RNAcentral lists this ribosomal RNA (305 nucleotides) under uncultured bacterium. Its description in RNAcentral is "bacterial SSU rRNA". It matches the Rfam family "Bacterial small subunit ribosomal RNA", at positions 331 to 655 of the family's 1533-position model. The record is from RNAcentral.
UUCGACCUACGGGAGGCAGCAGUGGGGGAUAUUGCACAAUGGGGGGAACCCUGAUGCAGCGACGCCGCGUGGGUGAAGAAGCGCCUCGGCGCGUAAAGCCCUGUCAGCAGGGAAGAAAAUGACGGUACCUGAAGAAGAAGCCCCGGCUAACUACGUGCCAGCAGCCGCGGUAAUACGUAGGGGGCAAGCGUUAUCCGGAUUUACUGGGUGUAAAGGGGGCGCAGACGGCGAUGCAAGCCAGGAGUGAAAGCCCGGGGACGAACCCCGGGGCUGCUCUUGGAACUGCGUGGAUGGAGUGCAGGAGG